GGGAAGGUGGCUCAGUGGUAGAGUGCUUGCCUUGCAUGCAUGAGGCAUUGGGUUCCAUUCCU
Molecule: non-coding RNA, 62 nt
Organism: Dipodomys ordii (Ord's kangaroo rat)
Lineage: Eukaryota; Metazoa; Chordata; Mammalia; Rodentia; Heteromyidae
Source: Rfam